UACGUAGGGGGCAAGCGUUGUCCGGAAUCAUUGGGCGUAAAGAGCGUGUAGGCGGCCCGAUAAGUCCGCUGUGAAAGUCCAGGGCUCAACCCUGGGAUGCCGGUGGAUACUGUCGGGCUCGAGUCCGGAAGAGGCGAGUGGAAUUCCUGGUGUAGCGGUGAAAUGCGCAGAUAUCAGGAGGAACACCAAUGGCGAAGGCAGCUCGCUGGGACGUAACUGACACUGAGGCGCGAAAGCGUGGGGAGCGAACAGG
RNAcentral lists this ribosomal RNA (253 nucleotides) under uncultured bacterium. Its description in RNAcentral is "partial 16S ribosomal RNA". It matches the Rfam family "Bacterial small subunit ribosomal RNA", at positions 524 to 776 of the family's 1533-position model. The record is from RNAcentral.